This 466-nucleotide ribosomal RNA is filed under the name uncultured bacterium. RNAcentral describes it as "partial 16S ribosomal RNA". It matches the Rfam family "Bacterial small subunit ribosomal RNA", at positions 28 to 507 of the family's 1533-position model. The record is from RNAcentral.
GAUGAACGCUGGCGGCGUGCUUAACACAUGCAAGUCGAACGAUGAAGCUCAGCUUGCUGGGUGGAUUAGUGGCGAACGGGUGAGUAACACGUGAGUAACCUGCCCUUAACUCUGGGAUAAGCCUGGGACACUAGGUCUAAUACCGGAUAGGAGCGCCUACCGCAUGGAGGGUGUUGGAAAGAUGUAUCGGUUUUGGAUGGACUCGCGGCCUAUCAGCUUGUUGGUGAGGUAAUGACUCACCAAGGCGACGACGGGUAGCCGGCCUGAGAGGGUGACCGGCCACACUGGGACUGAGACACGGCCCAGACUCCUACGGGAGGCAGCAGUGGGGAAUAUUGCACAAUGGGCGCAAGCCUGAUGCAGCGACGCCGCGUGAGGGAUGACGGCCUUCGGGUUGUAAACCUCUUUCAGUAGGGAAGAAGCGAAAGUGACGGUACCUGCAGAAGAAGCACCGGCUAACUACGUG